GAGGGUAGAGCUCAGUGGUAGAGCACUUGCUUAGCAUGCGUGAGGUCCUAGGUUCAAUCCCCAGUACCUCCA
This 72-nucleotide transfer RNA is filed under the name Camelus bactrianus (Bactrian camel). It matches the Rfam family "tRNA". Rfam says of the family: Transfer RNA (tRNA) molecules are approximately 80 nucleotides in length. Their secondary structure includes four short double-helical elements and three loops (D, anti-codon, and T loops). The record is from Rfam by way of RNAcentral. Lineage: Eukaryota; Metazoa; Chordata; Mammalia; Artiodactyla; Camelidae. RNAcentral also lists the same sequence under 2 other names.